This 447-nucleotide ribosomal RNA is filed under the name uncultured bacterium. RNAcentral describes it as "SSU rRNA". It matches the Rfam family "Bacterial small subunit ribosomal RNA", at positions 26 to 518 of the family's 1533-position model. The record is from RNAcentral.
AGAGCGAACGCUGGCGGCAGGCUUAACACAUGCAAGUCGAGCGGGCGUAGCAAUACGUCAGCGGCAGACGGGUGAGUAACGCGUGGGAACGUACCUUUUGGUUCGGAACAACCCAGGGAAACUUGGGCUAAUACCGGAUAAGCCCUUACGGGGAAAGAUUUAUCGCCGAAAGAUCGGCCCGCGUCUGAUUAGCUAGUUGGUGGGGUAAUGGCCCACCAAGGCGACGAUCAGUAGCUGGUCUGAGAGGAUGAUCAGCCACAUUGGGACUGAGACACGGCCCAAACUCCUACGGGAGGCAGCAGUGGGGAAUAUUGGACAAUGGGCGCAAGCCUGAUCCAGCCAUGCCGCGUGAGUGAUGAAGGCCCUAGGGUUGUAAAGCUCUUUUGUGCGGAAGAUAAUGACGGUACCGCAAGAAUAAGCCCCGGCUAACUUCGUGCCAGCAGCCGC